AGCGAACGCUGGCGGCAGGCCUAACACAUGCAAGUCGAACGGACCCUUCGGGGUUAGUGGCGGACGGGUGAGUAACACGUGGGAACGUGCCUUUAGGUUCGGAAUAGCUCCUGGAAACGGGUGGUAAUGCCGAAUGUGCCCUUCGGGGGAAAGAUUUAUCGCCUUUAGAGCGGCCCGCGUCUGAUUAGCUAGUUGGUGGGGUAAUGGCCCACCAAGGCUACGAUCAGUAGCUGGUCUGAGAGGAUGACCAGCCACAUUGGGACUGAGACACGGCCCAAACUCCUACGGGAGGCAGCAGUGGGGAAUCUUGCGCAAUGGGCGAAAGCCUGACGCAGCCAUGCCGCGUGUGUGAUGAAGGUCUUAGGAUUGUAAAAUACUUUCACCGGUGAAGAUAAUGACUGUAGCCGGAGAAGAAGCCCCGGCUAACUUCGUGCCAGCAGCCGCGGUAAU
Molecule: ribosomal RNA, 450 nt
Filed under: uncultured bacterium
Lineage: Bacteria
Description: bacterial SSU rRNA
Rfam family: Bacterial small subunit ribosomal RNA
Source: RNAcentral